This 490-nucleotide ribosomal RNA is filed under the name uncultured bacterium. Its description in RNAcentral is "partial 16S ribosomal RNA". It matches the Rfam family "Bacterial small subunit ribosomal RNA", at positions 30 to 507 of the family's 1533-position model. The record is from RNAcentral.
AUUGAACGCUGGCGGCAGGCCUAACACAUGCAAGUCGAACGGUAACAGGAAGCAGCUUGCUGCUUUGCUGACGAGUGGCGGACGGGUGAGUAAUGUCUGGGAAACUGCCCGAUGGAGGGGGAUAACUACUGGAAACGGUAGCUAAUACCGCAUAACGUCGCAAGACCAAAGAGGGGGACCUUAGGGCCUCUUGCCAUCGGAUGUGCCCAGAUGGGAUUAGCUAGUAGGUGGGGUAACGGCUCACCUAGGCGACGAUCCCUAGCUGGUCUGAGAGGAUGACCAGCCACACUGGAACUGGGACACGGUCCAGACUCCUACGGGAGGCAGCAGUGGGGAAUAUGGCACAAUGGGCGCAAGCCUGAUGCAGCAAUGCCGCGUGUAUGAAGAAGGCCUUCGGGUUGUAAAGUACUUUCAGCGGGGAGGAAGGGAGUAAAGUUAAUACCUUUGCUCAUUGACGUUACCCGCAGAAGAAGCACCGGCUAACUCCGUG